CCUACGGGCGGCAGCAGUAGGGAAUUUUCCGCAAUGGGCGAAAGCCUGACGGAGCAAUACCGCGUGAGGGAUGACUGCCUAUGGGUUGUAAACCUCUUUUUUCAGGGAGGAAUAAAUGACGUGUACCUGAAGAAUAAGCAUCGGCUAACUCCGUGCCAGCAGCCGCGGUAAGACGGAGGAUGCAAGUGUUAUCCGGAAUCACUGGGCGUAAAGCGUCUGUAGGUGGCUCGACAAGUCAACUGUUAAAUCUUGAAGCUCAACUUCAAAAUCGCAGUCGAAACUAUCGGACUAGAGUAUAGUAGAGGUAAAGGGAAUUUCCAGUGGAGCGGUGAAAUGCGUAGAGAUUGGAAAGAACACCGAUGGCGAAGGCACUUUACUGGGCUAUUACUGACACUCAGAGACGAAAGCUAGGGUAGCAAAUGGGAUUAGAUACCCGGGUAGUC
This 443-nucleotide ribosomal RNA is filed under the name uncultured bacterium. RNAcentral's name for it is "bacterial SSU rRNA". It matches the Rfam family "Bacterial small subunit ribosomal RNA", at positions 338 to 795 of the family's 1533-position model. The record is from RNAcentral.